UACGAAGGGGAGCUAGCGUUGUUCGGAUUAACUGGGCGUAAAGGGUGCGUAGGCGGGGUUUUAAGUCAGGGGUGAAAUGCCGAGGCUCAACUUCGGAACUGCCUUUGAUACUGGAACUCUUGAGUCUGGGAGAGGUGAGUGGAACUGCGAGUGUAGAGGUGAAAUUCGUAGAUAUUCGCAAGAACACCAGUGGCGAAGGCGGCUCACUGGCCCGGAACUGACGCUGAGGCACGAAAGCGUGGGGAGCAAACAGG
This 254-nucleotide ribosomal RNA is filed under the name uncultured bacterium. RNAcentral's name for it is "partial 16S ribosomal RNA". It matches the Rfam family "Bacterial small subunit ribosomal RNA", at positions 524 to 776 of the family's 1533-position model. The record is from RNAcentral.